GUACUGUGCGAACGUUAUUCGGAAUCACUGGGCUUAAAGGGUGCGUAGGCGGCUUGCUAAGUAGGGUGUGAAAGCUCUCGGCCCAACCGAGGAAUUGCGCUCUAAACUGGCAGGCUUGAGUGAGAUAGGGGUGUGCGGAACUUCCAGUGGAGCGGUGAAAUGUGUUGAUAUUGGAAGGAACGCCGGUGGCGAAAGCGGCACACUGGGUCUCAACUGACGCUGAGGCACGAAAGCCAGGGUAGCGAACGGGGGAUUAGAUACCCCGGUAGUCCUGGCUGUAAACGAUGAGCACUAGACGGGAGGAACUUCGGUUUCUCCGGUCGCAGCGAAAGCAAUAAGUGCUCCGCCUGGGGAGUAUGGUCGCAAGGCUG
This 371-nucleotide ribosomal RNA is filed under the name uncultured organism. RNAcentral describes it as "partial 16S ribosomal RNA". It matches the Rfam family "Bacterial small subunit ribosomal RNA", at positions 527 to 896 of the family's 1533-position model. The record is from RNAcentral.